Scleropages formosus (Asian bonytongue) is the source of this 357-nucleotide long non-coding RNA. RefSeq lists it as uncharacterized. Lineage: Eukaryota; Metazoa; Chordata; Actinopteri; Osteoglossiformes; Osteoglossidae. The record is from RefSeq and is a predicted model, not a curated record. The transcript is spliced from 3 exons.
GACUGAAUAUUUAGGUGAAAGUGUCUCAGAGCUCCUGGGUGAUGGGUUCAAAUUGCCCACGGAGGUCUCUGUACUGGUAGGGGACCCCGCCACGCUCCACUUUUACGCCAACGUCAACAUACAGACCGAAGACGGUCAGUUUGAUGUGCGCUGGGAGAAGGACGGUAAACUUGUUCUGCACCUUCAUCAUGGGUCGGUUACUCUGGGCUACGGGUUCAAAGACAGAGUCACCGUGUCUGAAAAGGAUGCCCGAAAGGGCGACCUGUCAUUGCUCUUGAACGAGACGCGUCUCUCAGAUGAAGGGAGCUACUGUUGUUUCUACAAUGAGAAUGUGACGGGAUAUCCAGGGACAAUCAA